GUGCCAGCCGCCGCGGUAAUACCGGCAGCCCGAGUGAUGGCCGAUAUUAUUGGGCCUAAAGCGUCCGUAGCUGGCCGAACAAGUCCGUCGGGAAAUCCACGUGCUUAACGCGUGGGCGACCGGCGGAAACUGUUCGGCUUGGGGCCGGAGGACCCGAGGGGUACGUCCGGGGUAGGAGUGAAAUCCUGUAAUCCUGGACGGACCGCCGGUGGCGAAAGCACUCUGAGAAGACGGCUUCGACAGUGAGGGACGAAAGCUAGGGUCUCAAACCGGAUUAGAUACCCCGGUAGUCC
This 293-nucleotide ribosomal RNA is filed under the name uncultured bacterium. Its description in RNAcentral is "partial 16S ribosomal RNA". It matches the Rfam family "Archaeal small subunit ribosomal RNA", at positions 455 to 747 of the family's 1478-position model. The record is from RNAcentral.